This 75-nucleotide transfer RNA is filed under the name Candidatus Woesearchaeota archaeon. Its description in RNAcentral is "tRNA-Glu". It matches the Rfam family "tRNA". Rfam says of the family: Transfer RNA (tRNA) molecules are approximately 80 nucleotides in length. Lineage: Archaea; Nanobdellati; Candidatus Woesearchaeota. The record is from RNAcentral.
GCUCCAGUAGUGUAAUCCGGCUAAGCACGUCAGCCUUUCGCGCUGAGAAUCUGGGUUCAAAUCCCGGCUGGAGCA